GACGAACGCUGGCGGCAUGCCUAAUACAUGCAAGUCGAACGAGCUUCCGUUGAAUGACGUGCUUGCACUGAUUUCAACAAUGAAGCGAGCGGCGAACUGGUGAGUAACACGUGGGAAAUCUGCCCAGAAGCAGGGGAUAACACUUGGAAACAGGUGCUAAUACCGUAUAACAACAAAAUCCGCAUGGAUUUUUGUUUGAAAGGUGGCUUCGGCUAUCU
Molecule: ribosomal RNA, 218 nt
Filed under: uncultured bacterium
Lineage: Bacteria
Description: partial 16S ribosomal RNA
Rfam family: Bacterial small subunit ribosomal RNA
Source: RNAcentral